RNAcentral lists this ribosomal RNA (253 nucleotides) under Sporobacter termitidis. Its description in RNAcentral is "partial 16S ribosomal RNA". It matches the Rfam family "Bacterial small subunit ribosomal RNA", at positions 524 to 776 of the family's 1533-position model. Lineage: Bacteria; Bacillati; Bacillota; Clostridia; Eubacteriales; Oscillospiraceae. The record is from RNAcentral.
UACGUAGGCGGCAAGCGUUGUCCGGAUUUACUGGGUGUAAAGGGCGUGUAGGCGGGAGAGCAAGUCAGAAGUGAAAUCCAUGGGCUUAACCCAUGAACUGCUUUUGAAACUGUUCUUCUUGAGUAUCGGAGAGGCAGGCGGAAUUCCUAGUGUAGCGGUGAAAUGCGUAGAUAUUAGGAGGAACACCAGUGGCGAAGGCGGCCUGCUGGACGACAACUGACGCUGAGGCGCGAAAGCGUGGGGAGCAAACAGG